GACAACAGGGGAGCCUGUAUACAGGCUGAGAGGAAAUUGUAAUUUCGACCCAUAACCUGAUUUGGAUAAUGCCAACGUAGGGAAAUACAGAG
This 92-nucleotide non-coding RNA is filed under the name uncultured Enterocloster sp. RNAcentral's name for it is "TPP riboswitch (THI element)". The stretch from base 7 to 83 matches the Rfam family "TPP riboswitch aptamer (THI element)", at positions 11 to 88 of the family's 105-position model. Rfam says of the family: Vitamin B(1) in its active form thiamin pyrophosphate (TPP) is an essential coenzyme that is synthesised by coupling of pyrimidine and thiazole moieties in bacteria. The previously detected thiamin-regulatory element, thi box was extended, resulting in a new, highly conserved RNA secondary structure, the THI element, which is widely distributed in eubacteria and also occurs in some archaea. Analysis of operon structures identified a large number of new candidate thiamin-regulated genes, mostly transporters, in various prokaryotic organisms. Lineage: Bacteria; Bacillati; Bacillota; Clostridia; Lachnospirales; Lachnospiraceae. The record is from RNAcentral.